CAGCCGCCGCGGUAAUACAGAGGGUGCAAGCGUUAAUCGGAAUUACUGGGCGUAAAGCGCGCGUAGGUGGUUUGUUAAGUUGGAUGUGAAAUCCCCGGGCUCAACCUGGGAACUGCAUUCAAAACUGACUGACUAGAGUAUGGUAGAGGGUGGUGGAAUUUCCUGUGUAGCGGUGAAAUGCGUAGAUAUAGGAAGGAACACCAGUGGCGAAGGCGACCACCUGGACUAAUACUGACACUGAGGUGCGAAAGCGUGGGGAGCAAACAGGAUUAGAUACCCCAGUAGUCCCUGUCUCUUAUAC
RNAcentral lists this ribosomal RNA (301 nucleotides) under uncultured bacterium. Its description in RNAcentral is "partial 16S ribosomal RNA". It matches the Rfam family "Bacterial small subunit ribosomal RNA", at positions 509 to 807 of the family's 1533-position model. The record is from RNAcentral.